UCUGCUUGCGUGUUUCUGCGCUCGCCUGCUCGUAAAUAGUUCGAUCGUGCGAUUUACUGGUUCUGCUGUUGCUGCUGCUGCCGCUGCUACCGAACUAGGGUGGCGUUAGAAUGAAGACGUAGCAGGCUUAAUAAGGUAACGGGAUAGAAUGGGACAAGCCGAGUUCCAGCAUCGGCAGCAUGAGAAACAACAGCGCGUUUCAUGUACAGAAUAACAUGGCCUGGGCCGUAAGGAGGCGUUCGAAGCCCCGCGUUUACCCAAGUGGGCGCCCACAGCCUCGAAUUGCUGAACGUGCCCGGAAUAUUAUGAACUUGCUAGCUGACGGCCACUCGCGUCGCUAUCGGGAACGACUACUCGUGAAGCGGGAGCACACAAGUGGAUUUCUGGGCCAUAUCCGCUGUCCUUUAGCCUCAUCUAGUGCCCGCGUCGUGAUACUACUCUAUGUUCGCGCUGCAGAGCGAGUCCUCCAGCUUGAGAUAGGGUAAGCAGGGGUUCCCUGUGUCCCGCAGUCACAGCACCGCUAUGGACAGCAGCACGCCAAAACCGCUGUCGGAACUCUUCUCCCGCAAGGGAGGCCGACUUUUCAAAAGAAAUUGCUGCCAGCAGCGGCAGAACCACCCCAAUCUGUUAAGAACAGCGCUGAACAUUGCCUUCGUCUGCCGCUUUUGGAUACUGAGCGCCCAGAGGACACUAGUUGUACUAGAAAGCUUGGCUCUAUACUGAUGUAGGUCCAAUUACCGCUCCCGUCCCUUUGUCCCUCUGAUUUGCCAGCUUUUUCAAGGUUCCGUCUGUCGACGCGACUCAAUAGGGAAAGACGUUGCCUGCCGUUGAUGAUAUUACAGCAACUGCAUCCUGUUCUUUCUGGGUCUUCUUCUGAACGGUUUCGCGGGUUCCCCACGAUACGACAUUGAGGUUGAUGAGCGAGUACAAGAUAAG
Molecule: long non-coding RNA, 936 nt
Filed under: Varroa destructor (honeybee mite)
Lineage: Eukaryota; Metazoa; Arthropoda; Arachnida; Mesostigmata; Varroidae
Description: uncharacterized LOC111254096, transcript variant X1
Source: RNAcentral